UUACCGGCGGUCUCUAAUUCGCUUGGUGCAGGUCGGGAACCGGUUCGCUUGGUGAUGCCACAUGGCUUUUUCUGAUUGGGUUGUCAGAUUGCGAAAUGGAUCCCGCCUUGCAUCAACUGAAUCGGAUACCGCGGUGAAG
RNAcentral lists this microRNA precursor (139 nucleotides) under Morus notabilis. RNAcentral describes it as "MIR168 microRNA precursor family". It matches the Rfam family "MIR168 microRNA precursor family". The record is from Rfam by way of RNAcentral. Lineage: Eukaryota; Viridiplantae; Streptophyta; Magnoliopsida; Rosales; Moraceae.